Long non-coding RNA from Triticum dicoccoides, 1085 nucleotides. RefSeq lists it as uncharacterized. Lineage: Eukaryota; Viridiplantae; Streptophyta; Magnoliopsida; Poales; Poaceae. The record is from RefSeq and is a predicted model, not a curated record. The transcript is spliced from 5 exons.
GAAAGCGGCCUCCGUCGGUUGUGCGUGCCGGCGACAGGGACGGCGGUCGCCGAGUCUUCCUGAUCCGUUUCUCAGAUCGUUCGCCAGAAAGUUGGUCCGUGGACCAUGAAGUUUGCUUUCCACCGCAGGUUGGUAUGGAGAUUUAUUGUGCGCACGGUGGUCUUGAUGUAUGAUUCCCCUUCGUCUCAGGGGUGAAGGGGUGAGCGACUGCCUGCGGAGAAGAAUUCGUGCACAGUGGGGCGACUUGAUUUCCUGGCCAUUGGAGUUUCUAAUGCAGCUAGCAGAUUCCAAUUCGUUGAGGAAGUUGACGAGAGCACAACCCAAAUGGAUCUGUUGUACACACACCGGGCGGCUGCGGCCGAGGUCGCAGCACCGGCGGUAAAAGUGGACGCUGAAAUCUGCGCGGGGGUAAGGGCCAGGGAGAUCAGACGGGAAACAUCACAUCAGGAAUCCGAGCUUUAGACCGGCAAGAUGAACCCACGGCCCCCUGGUUGUGCUAAGAGGUGUUCUGCUAUGCCUUAUUAAUUAUGGCAAUUGGAAUAUCUGCACUAAUUCUUGGGUCAUGGCCUAUGCAUCUGAUUGGAUAUACUACUGCAUUAUCAGGUAGAACCAAAAUGGUUGGACCUGCAGUGAAGCUUCUGCUUCUUAUUGCUGCCAGUGAUCUUUAUCUUAUGGUCGAUAUUUGUCAUCCCGGAAAGUGCUUUUGCUGGAUUAUUAUAUGGCUUUUCUAUUACCAAUAAUGGCCACAUUCGGUGCAGUUGGAGAAGCCAAGGAGAAGCCACUUGUUUAUUGCUUUGUGGAUGGAAGUGGAACAUGGAGUACUAUUAUUGGAAUUUCUACAGUGACCAGGGUUUGGAAAAAAAAAAUAUUUUCCACUCCUAUUUAUCAGUUAUGGAUGACCUCGUCUUCGGACACUUCCUGGUUGAAAUGGCAUAUGAAAUAUGGUUUGCUUCUUGUUUGUGUUUGGUAGCUCUUUACCAUUGUGCCUCAAAAUCAGAUAACUUUUCUGUGUUUCCUUUCCACUUUUGUCCUUUUAACAUAUAUGACCUUAAUCACAUAUGCAAACUAGCACCUUUUAUGUCUGA